Myotis davidii is the source of this 150-nucleotide non-coding RNA. The record is from Rfam. NCBI's taxonomy places the organism in Eukaryota, Metazoa, Chordata, Mammalia, Chiroptera, Vespertilionidae.
CUCACAUUGUGAGAGUUUGGUGUUGAGGCCACUGGUGGCCGAUGGCUUACAAGCGGAGGUCGUGUACUAAGUGAGGGGCAAAUAUUCCACUGACACCACAAGGAUCCCUGGCCCAGUGAGUGGAGUUUGAUAGCAAUCCUUGCUAUAAGU